This is a long non-coding RNA of Homo sapiens (human), 9040 nucleotides long. RefSeq lists it as uncharacterized. The record is from RefSeq and is a predicted model, not a curated record. The transcript has 5 exons. Lineage: Eukaryota; Metazoa; Chordata; Mammalia; Primates; Hominidae.
UCCCCAUAGGCUCUUUUUGUGCAGCAUAGGGUGUGCCUUGCUUUCUGAUCAUUUGAAUAGCAAGUGUGAAUUUUAAUGCUUGUAUGCUGAGCCCCUAGGCAUGGGGCCACAGCCAGUUGCCUAAGACACUCAUGAAGCUAUGCCUAUGUUCCCACCUGGCCCAGGCUCCUGGCUACCUGUUGGGAUGCUGAGAACCUGUGGGGAAGUUUCCAUUUCAUUUUCACUUGGAUCCCAAACCUACAUUGUCGCAAUGGAGCAAAAAGUUAAUACAACGUUGAAUGCCUCCACUAAUUGUCUACCUUCUAUGAUGAGAGCUGUGCAAGGCAUCAAGGCUUUAGUUUCUGUGUAAGUUGAAUUCAGCUGACCAGACUAGAUAUAGAGAAGUAAAUGACCUUACUUGGAUUCCUCCAUGACCUCCCACAGCAAUGAUCAUCAAUAAGGUAGUUAUAAAUGUAUUAGACUGGAAUAGGUGAAUGGGAUUGUACCAUUUAUCUUUUGUGGUCAAAAUGUGAAAAAUGUCUCCCCUAAGCUGUUCCAUUUACUCCCAAAUCUCAGCAAAUAAGCAACUGUCAAAGUGCAGACGACCAGAGACUGGGUAAUUGCAGGCGACUGACUGACCAGUGUGGUGAUCAAAGUCUCACUCCUAAAUUCUGGAUAAUUUUAGGAACUCUUAGGCCUCCUUAGGGGAAGUGGGUACUAAGAAAUUCUGAAUUACCUGGGCUUUAGGGAAUUUCCUAGAACCGUGGCCAACAGUAAGAUGGUGCUACCCUGAUCUGUGCAUUCAGGACACUGAUUCAUCUUCACCAUUCUAGACCCGGAGAUUGGUCUACUUGCUUUACUGCACAGAUCCUGACCCCCUCUGCCCUAAAUUCCCCUAUCUGGAUUAGUUUUGAAAGCUCUAGGGUUAGUCUAGUCUUUCUGGGGAAUGUUGAGGGCUGUUGUGCCUCACAGUGGCAAUGUGGUUUAAUCAGCUAAAUUAAACCAAGCUAACAACUGUUUCCUGAGCACCCAUUAUGAGCAAGGCUAUAUGCACAUCUCUCACUCUUGUCAGAGACAAGUACAGAAAAAAGUGGAAAGAAAUGGGGACACAUCCUUGGAAAGGGUUGAAUUGUCAGUAUUAGAGUUUUUACUUAUUUAGCACAUGAUUUAUUUAGCACCUACUAUGUGUCAAGGACUUUCAAUUGUGAUUGCAUUGAACAACACUGCCAGGUGAGUGGUACUCUGUCUCUCUAUACAACUGGAUUUCAGACAGGUGAGGUGUCUUGCCUGCAUUCACAUGGCUAAUAUGUGGCAGAAUUGGAAUGUAAGGAGAUCUAACUCCAAAAUGGACUAUAGUAUAUUAUAAUGAUUCUCAACCUCCAUCAGACUCUGUCUAGGAAAUAAACUGUGAAGCUACACCUGAAACCACCAAACCCAUCUCAAACUCAAUGAUCUUUUACAUUUUACCUCUAUUUUUGUUGUUGUUGUAGCUUUUCUGGGGUUGUGCUGGUUAUACCAACCUUAUCUCAGCUACCUGAAGGAUUGUCGUGCUGGAGAAGACGUGUGGAGACCCACCUGACCAAAGCUCAACUUCAUGAACAUAAGAGCUGGAGGAACUGCCUCUCAGACUGUCCAGCUUGCUCAGAAAAGUGGCCUUCCUUUGGCUGGGAGAUGGGACACUAAGCAGAAGGCCAGAGAGGUACUGUUCAAAGAGUGAGCGGUCACCCUGUCCUAGCAUCCAGGCCAUCUUGUCCUGGGGCCCAAGCCUCCUGGCUCACCAUUCAGCACUCCUGAUGAAGAAAUUGAAGCCCAGAAAAAUUAAGUAACUUGUCCAAAUCCAAACAGAUGAGUUAAAAUCAUGAUGACUGUUUAGUGGCUUGAAGACAUUUUGUGUAACAUUUCAGCUUCAAUAAGAAGACGGGAGCUUGGUGCAAGGAUGUUUUACUGGGAGCCUACAGUGGAGCUCAGAAAGUCAUGUUCCGGCUGGACGCAGUGGCUUAUGCCUACAAUCCCAGCACUUUGGGAGGCCAAGGCAGGUGGAUUGCUUGAGCUCAGGAGUUCAAGACCAGCCUGGGCGACAUGGUGAAACUCCAUCUCUGCAAAAAGUACAAAAAAUUAGCCAGGUGUCAUGAGGUGCAACUGUGGUCCCAGCUACUUGAUGGGCUGAGGCAGGAGAAUCCCUUGAGCCCAGGAGGUUGAGGCUGCAGUGAGCCGUGUUGGAGUGAGACCCUGUCUCAAAAAAAAAAAAAAAAAAAAAAAGAAGUCAUGUUUGAAUAUUCCUUUGGGGCUUUUGUUUCCUCAUGUUUGCUCUCAAAACAUCAGAAUGCCACAGAAGUUUGUUAAUUCUCUGGAUCAAUUGAGGAAGGAAAAGCAUCAGCACCUCCUCAAGAAUGCCAUAGGAGGUGUGUGCUGGGAUGCUCUGAGCUCUGCAGCAGUGAUGCAUGCAGCUGGAGAUGUUGAAGGUCAGAUGCAGGUGGUCAAGCAUUUUAGUUUCCUGUGGCUACUGUAAUAACUAAAGUGGCUGAAAACAACAGGAAUUCAUUAUCUUACAGUUCUGGAGACAAGAAGUCCAAAAUCACUUUCACUGAACUAGAAUUGAGGUGGUGGCAGGACCUUGGUCCUUCUGAAGGCUCUGGGGGUGAAUCUGCUCUGUGCCUCUCCCAGGUUCCAGAGGCUGCCAGCAUUCCUGGGCCUGUGGCAACAUCACUCCACUCUGUGCCUCCAUGGCCUCAUUAUCUCCUCCUUUUCUGUCUGUAUCAAAUUUCUCCCUGCCUCCCUCUUAUAAGGCACAUGUGAUUGCAUUUAGGGCCCAUGCAGGUAAUCCAAGAUGAUCUUCCCAUGUAUAAUUAUUUGCUUAAUCCACAUCCGCAAAGAGCCAUUUUCCUUAGAAGGUGACAUUUACAGCUUCCAGGGAUUAGAACCUGACAUCUCAGUAAGCCAUUAUUGAGCCUAUCAUACUGAGCCUAGAUCCCUCCUGUUGGCCUCAUAUAUUCAUGGAGGACAAAGGAAAAGGCUAAAGGCCAGAGACCAGCAGAAGAGUGCAUUCUUGCUUUCCAGAUUCGGGUGAACUGUCAUAAUCAGUGUCUGGCAGAACAAAAGACUGAGGGAAAAAGUUGAAGCAAUGCAAAGCCCCAGAGUGACCACAAUGGCAUGAUUACUGCUGAGUUUGUUUAUGAGAGGAAAGAAAGCAGCCAUGUUGGAAAGCCUUGGGCGGUUUUCAUAUCCUGGAAGUUAUGUAGAAAUAGCUGGAGAGGAAUGCAUCAUUCAGGAGUGUAAAACAAUUUCUUGUUUAAACAGACCCCAAGGCUUGAGUGGUUAAAAAAAUUCCUCCCAGAGAGUGGAAAUGAAAAAAGCCCUUCAAAAGGUUAUUAAUGUGGCCACUUGCAGACAAGGGAACACAUCACGCGGAGUCUCUUGCUGAUUUUACCCCAUGGAGACUGGUUGUGGAUGACGAACGAUAAAAUGGAAGCAUCCAGCAGUGGUAACUUAAUGUUGUGGUGGGGAAUAGUUUUCUUUCCUGACCUCAUUUGUAAGAAGGGAAUGGAGGAGGAUGAAGAUGCCUCAUUAGUGGAAACUAUACACUCCUGUCUAUUCACUUGCUGUAGAUGAAAGAACACUCCAAGAUACUGCUCCAAAAGGAACAUUAGCCAAACUAGAUCUUCUCUUGUAAAUUUCAGAGGCAUCUGUAGACAUGGGUGACAGGGAAGCCUCCAAGCGAUCAACUUCCCUGCCUUUCCAACACCUGAAAAGUGGCCCUGAGGUUUUCCAUUGAGGUUUUCCAAAUACAGGUUGCCAGUGCUUCUGAGUGUGCCCUGAGCCCUGGUGGUUGUUUUUAGGAUAGAAAAUACUUUUCUCUUACAUGGCCACCUGCCCUCUCUCCAGGUUCUGGGGCUUCCUGAAGGCCCAACUGCCUUACCUCUUUUCUCCUCCUCAACCAUCAUACAUUAUUCUUAUGACGAAGUAUGUUCCAGAAAUGGUGUUCAGACAAAAAUUGUGACCAGGUUCGGUUAUCCAACACAACACUGAAAGCUGCUGAUUCUAGAAUAGAGGUGAUUAGGAUGAUCAUUUAUUUGGCAAUGUUAUGAUCAAAGAUGAAUGAGUAGACUAGAAACUGUUUAAAUGGCUUCUUCAGCACCCUCAAGUCAAUGACUUAGAGCUUCUAUCCUGUGUGCUGUGGGUCACUAAAAUCUCUCCAUCACCUGCCAGUUCCAUUCUGUUAAAUGUAUAUUAACAACUUUGGUAUAUCUUGUUAAGGGCUCUGCAGCAGAGCAAUCCCUCUUACUAAACUGUUGGAGCACACCAUUGCAUACACAUUUUUUCCCCUUUGCCAAAGGCAACUCUAUCUAGGACAACUCCAUUCCAUCCAUUCCAGGGCAUGAUGCAUAGCAAAACGGAGCAGUCCUGUGACUCCAUGCCCUGUCAGUGACAGCUCCAGACAAGACCAGACUCAUGGACAUGGUGGUGUUUGACCCUUUAUUUCUCCCAGGGCUGCACUGUGGAAAUAUUAUUCCUAUUCUAUCACAUAAAUGCCUUUUUAUCACUGCCUUUUCAAAUAACCAAGUAAUUGAAGUGCAGUUGUCUCCCACAUUAUGUAGGACAUUUUUACUAGCCUUGAUUAUAUUUCCAUUAGACUUGGUGUAGCUGACUUAGUAACUAGGCCUAGGACAGCAGUGAUGGAUUUGUCUGAUGGUCAGUCAUUGAGUGUGAACUCAUUGAAACCUUCCAAAUAUUUGAAAUUUUUCUAGAUUCAGUUUGGACUCGAUGUUUGCAAUGAAGCCAUCUUUUAAAUUCCCUGCCCUAAAGUGACCUUUUACUCUAUGAACAACUCAUGCUCAACAGGGCAGAGACAUAGUGUGACUUCCUCUCUUCUCUACAGCAGCAUAUUUACCUGCGAGAAUGCCAAAGAACAGGCAAAUUUCUGCCCAGUAGAGUGAUUUUCAGUUGAUCAGAUUCAGUGGGGACACAUAUACCUCCUCAUGGGAGAAACAGUGAUGUCUCUGGAGGAGUGUUCACAGAGUAAAAAAGUAUAUUCAACAUAAUUAAUUUUUUCUCAAAAUAAAUAGCAAGAAGUAGAGGCUUUCCAAAUCUCCUAGAUGAUAAGGGAUCAUGGAUAACAGAAAAUAGAGUGGGAAAAUGUUAUGGGACAGAGCGACCGUAUGUUCAUGUGUCCCAGUUUAUACCAGUUGUUCAGGAAUCAUUAUUUAUAGCACCCCUUUUAUUCUUCAAGUAUUUGUUUAGACAUUAAAUUAUAUGAUUACCCUAGUUAAACAGAGCUUGGGAAGUACUCAUCUGAUAGGAUCUCCAAAAAAGUUCCCGUGGAGUCCAUUUUUGCAUUGCUGUAAAGAAUACCUGAGAGUGGGUAAUUUAUAAAGGAAAGAGGUUGAUUUGACUCACAGUUCUUCAGAUUGUACAAGUCUGGCACCAGCAUCUAUUCAGCUUCUGGUGAGACCUUAGGAAGAUUUUUCUCACAGAAGAAGGAAAAGGGGCAGCAGGCACAUCACAUGAUGAGGGAGAGAGAGAGGGAGAGGAAGCAAGAGAGAGAGAGGAGGGGUGUCAGAUUCUUUUAAACAACCAGCUCUCCUGUGAACUAAUAGAGUGAGGACUCACUCAUUACCACAAGGGCAGUACCAAGCAAUUCAUGAGGGAUCUACUCCAAUGACCCAAACACCACCUAUCAGGCCAACUUCUGACAUUGGAGGUCACAUAUCAACAUGGGGUUUGGAGGGGACACAUGUCCAAACCAUAUUAGCUCCUAAAGUUGUCCUCAAAUUCAAGGUGCAAUGUUUGAGAAGAGAGUUUGUGUUAGCAGAAUGGCUUCCCAGCAAAAUAAGUUUUGGUCAUGCAUGUUUUACAGGAGAGAUCAACUGUGUUUGGAAGAGAUCAGAUAGUGUUUAUGAGCACACUGCAUGCCAUAAUUCUGAAGAAUCCAGAGGUAAAAGGUAUUUUACAAGAAACAAAUAUAGUUCUUGUAAUGGAAGCAUUUAGAUGUCACUAUGAAGAGGAGUGAUGGAAAUUCAUAGCAAAUAUAAGGUAGGAAUAGAAAUGCUCAAAAAAUCUAUUAGGUGCUUUUUUUUUCCUGACACUUUGGAUAUCUCCUCUUUAAUAAUGUUCUUAAUUACCAUUGUCUUUAUAUUGUACAAGGUAGACAAGUUGAUUCUAACUUGGUUCUGGCUUCCUUCUUCUGCAAAGAGAGAGAGAAAUAGCUGAAGGUGAAGCCUUGUAGGUUUGUUGCUCCUACGUUCAUUUGGGUCACACGGUGGCUUCUCUCUUGAUUAUGUGGAGGGCUUGGAUUCUUCUAGCCCAAAUAAAACUUGGCCACAUACCUUUGCUCAACAUGCACUGACCUGGGGGAACAAUAUGUUGUAACACAAGUUGCAAUUAGUCAUUAUUUUUUCAGUUCCUGUGUGAGAAACUAUGAUUUUAACAACCAAAACAACAACAGCAGCACCAAAACAAGAUAAAUGUGUGUAGCAAAUUUCCUUAAAUGAGCAUUGCCAGUAUAUUUUUCUCUUGCUAAAUAACCUCCUCCUGGAUCUCAACAUAUUAUUCCCCGCCCUCCCUCAUUUAAUUCAGAAAUAAGGGACAACCCUUCCGCAGCAGCUGUCCAGAGACCACCACAGCCUGUGAGAGUCUCCAGUGGACAACGGUUGUCUGAUUGAGACUCUUCCUGGUGUGCUCAGAAAAACCUGUACUUUUUUUGUUUCAAUUAGUUUUAUAGACAUUUCAAGCUGGGGCCUGCAUUUUUUUGUGGUAAGCUCACCCCUCAGCACUCCCCAUGGGGCUCACUAACCUUGGCUACCUUCAUCGUUUAUGGGAGUUGAGCUGUGCAUGCUUGAGACUGCCAUUUGUUUCUUCUUGCAUUGAAAUAACUUGCUUUUCUCUUUCAGCAACCCUGGGGUUCAACAAUUUGAAACUGCUUCACACCAAGAGCAGAGAAACUCGCUCUGUGGUUAUCACCUCAGAGAGACACAAUACCCAAAACCUGAGAACAUUCGCCUUGUUUUGUUGGAGUCAACACAUCUGCCAGGUUAUCUGUCUUCAGUCAACAUGGCUCAUAGAAAUCCAUGCUGAAUUAUUUUUUAGGAAGUUCGGUUUUGUUGACGAUGGAGUUAAAUGUUAUUCGUGUUAAAGUGAGUCUUUAAGAAGAUGGCCGGCUGUGUUUCUACAUAGUUUUGACAUCUGUCUUCAUUUCUCAUUUUUCCUCUAAGAUGUUCUGCACAUAUUUGUCAAUUUCUGUGGUCUGACUCAGAGCACAGGAAGUGUGGGUACUUCUGCUGGUGUCAAUCAUUGGGACUGGAUUAUGUCUAAGCAUCUUCAACCUCACAGGGAGGAGCUUGACCGGAGAAAGAGGCUGAGAACUGCUUCUCUUACCAAGGACCUUCCCCAAGCCAGGCAUCUCCGGAGAUGGUAUGGAGCCUGGGGUAGCUCGGCCAGGCCUUUGAUCACCAGCGAUGCCAUUGCUCUUCCCCGUUUCGCGUCUGCUGUGGCUUGCUGCUGAGGCUGCUUUCAGACCUCUGGAAUCAGAAAAGGAGGUGACUAUAUCAGGUAGCCCGCAUUUGCCUUUUGUAAGAAUACUUUUCAUGCUCGAUUCUUUAAAAUGGUUCCCCCAAAUAUACAUCACCUUGAUCCCUAUUCCAUGUACUAUACAUGACUAAAGUUUUUGCCCUUCAUCCCCACUCUAAAGGUGAUUUAUUUUUGUUGAUAACAAAUGAGAUAUUUUGGUUUGUCAUUAUCUACUUCAUAAAAAAACAGAAUGUUAUUACUAAUAAAUUUAAAUUCACAAUUUUAUUUCAUUUAAAAAAUGGCCCGUAUUCAGUAAAUCAUCAUAUUUCACUGAUGGAGGUAGCUGAGGGAUUAUCACGUCUAAUCCUUAAUUUUACAAAUGGGGAAACUGAGGCACAGUCUUUGUACAAGCUACUUCUCUCUCCCUUAGUGAGCUUGUCAAUUCUCUUCUAUGAAUUGCUUUUAGCUAAAGGAUUAGCAAGUAAAACUAUUUUUUUUUUUUUUUUUUUUUGCUGUGGCUCCAGAUGGGGUCCAAAGAGGAGUUUCACAGUCUCUUCUGUCUCUUCUCUGGGUUUUAUGGAGACUUACUUUAAUUUACCCUUAUGUGUUAGCCUCUUACGAAACUGCGUCUACCUUAAAAGGGCACAGGAAAGGGUGAAAAGUAUUUUUAAAAGGCUAAAUAACCACAUAGAAGUCAUGUAAGUUGACGCAUGAGCCGGCGAAUGGAAUGAUGAUGUGGCCUUGGAGGCCUGAUGGGUCCUCCCGUUGGCAUGGUCCCUUCUGCUACUGGCGCUCCUGUGCCUGCAAUCCAAACAUCUGGGGCCUGGCCAAGGGGAUACCGGGGGCUCGAGGAACAUGAGGAGCUAAGAGGUGACCUGGGGUCCCGGACAGGCAGGCAAUGAGGAUGUGUGGAGUUGAGUACACGUCAGGGUGGGGGACUGACUGCCCAUAAUACAUUUAAAAUGGUGCAUUUCAAUUGGUGUUUGCCAAUUCCUAGUUGUGGCUGUUUGGGGGAGGCUCAAGAAAAUGUUUUCACAGCCCUUGGGGAUCCUGUAAUGAGAAUCAUGUGUAAACGGAACGUUGACGAAGCCACACCUGGGGCACAUUGGACCCACGACAGACACUGAUGUGGGAAAAGAGCCGGUACCUUUUGAACCUGACCCAUUUUAUGAGAAGAUGCAUAUCAAAACAAACAAACAAAGCAACAACAAGAACACUGUGGAGUCUAAGAUUGAGGUGUGGUGUCUUGAACAAAAGACAAAAGACUCAGCCACGCUUAUGCUAAGAAGGAGAGCCAGGGAAAGAAAAUGCUGCAGUCGCAGUCAGAAGGAAAAGACUGUUUCACUUUGGCUUCAUGUGCAUCCCCCAGAGGGACUAUCAUGUUACUUUCAAAAUGACUGCAUAGCAGAUGAAAAAUGAUUCUCAUCUGCCUAUGGCUGCUGGGAGGUGGAGUGCAGUGCGGGACUCCUAUGGGGAUAUUUGUGGCUCCUCACGUCUCCUGGACCCAGGGUACCAGGACAGUGGACAUAAGGGACAAUAAAGCUUAUUUGAACAAAAA